UGAACUUCAAGUUCCUGGGUGUCAGCAUCUUUGAAGAUCUAUUCUGGGUGCAACUUACUGAUACAAUCAUGAAGAAGGCACGCCAGCAACUAGAUUUCAUUAGGAGUUUGAGGAGAUUUGGAAGUUCUGCGUCCCUUCCCUUCGGAUGGAGCAGAUGAGAGAGUCCAGGCCCUUGGGGUUCUCUGUGAGGUGGUCCAGAAGCUUUCCUGCCUUUCGCCUGCUUGAUACCUGGAGCAAACAAACUCUACUGGCGUAGUAGAAAAUCAGAGGGAAAGUUUCAUUCUCAAGCUGGUCCAGUGUGGCGAUUUGUGAAGAGGAGGAUUCUAGGCCUGGGCCUAUGGACAAUUCUGAUAAGAUUCCAAGAUGGUGGCGCAACACAGCUUGCAGCGGCCACUCCGGAACUGAUUAUCUGUUAUUUGUGAAGUGCCGUGCGCAAUCAUAAUCAAUUGAAAACGGACAUGGGAGCACGGAGGAACAUCGGGAAAUCUCCAGGAAGACCUUCCUCAUUGCUGCUGCUGCUGUGAGGUCUGGGACUCUGCUGGGAAGAACAGGCCCCCAGUCCUCGGGGUCGCAUUGCCAGUGGCCGUUGGCAGGGCCGUCUUAAUACGCUUGGCAGAGAAUGGUGCUCGGAGAAGCUGUACUGGAGGGGAUGGUCAUCGGCUCGGAGGUUCGACGGACUCAGAGUCCACUGCAGUCAGGUCACUUUCACUGUGUGCUGCGUCUGUGAGGCUGAGUCGGGCGGCGCCUUGGAAGUCCAUAGCGGGGGUAUUCCCUUCUGCCGGCGGCGUGGGAUGGGACGUCCCUCUAUUCUGAGGCUGUGUCCUCUGCUCCAGACUCCUCCACAUGGAUACAUCCUCUAUGAAGAUAUUUCAACAUUCGAUAGGUUUUAAUGACGCCUGUGGACAAAUCCGUUCAAUGAGAACUCUGGUGAAAUGAAGCCUGACAAAAGGUUACUGACCUGAAACAUUCACCCAGUUCCUCUCUCAGGUAACAUCUGCUCAGUAAUUUUGUCUUGUACUCAACAUAAUAUAUGCAGCUUCCACAGAUUCACUGCUCUCUGGCCAAAGAAUAGGGGAAUCAUGGUUGGGGAAAAGGGGAAGGGAGAAGGAAGCGAGUGGGAAGCACCAGAGAGACAUCCUGUAAUGAUCAAUAACCCAGUUGUUUGGAGUCAAAUGACCUUACCUGGUGUCUCGGAGCUGGGUGUGUCUGCACCCGCUCCACCCCCUGCCCCGAGCACUCCUUCUCUGCCACCUGUCCCACACCCCUCCCAUGGUGCUCCACCCCGGCCAUUCCCAACAUCCUUUGCUCAUGCCAGAUUUACAGACUUGCUCUCUGCUCCACGUUGACAAAUACAGUACUGUGCAAAAGCCUUAGGCACACUGGCUGUAUUUAUGUAGCUAAGACUUCUGCACAGUACUGCAGGUUUGAGGUGAGCUUGAGAAGGAGACCUGAGGGACAAGGUUUUCACACAGAGGGGAGUGGGUUUAUACAGUGAGCUGCUAGAGGGAGAUGAGGAGAUCGGUACAGCUACAGUGUCUGGGGGAGGUUUGGACAGGUUCAUGGGACACGUGCAGAGAAACAGGACUACCUCGAAUAGACAUCAUAGUCAGUGUGGACGAGUUAGGCCAAAGGGCGUGUUUCUGUGCGAUACAACUCUAAAGAAAGUUCAAAGUGAAUUUUUUAUCAAACUGUGUAGUCUAUGGUAACAUAUUUCACCAUAUACCAACUACCCUGAAAUUCAUUUUCUUGCAGGCAUUUACAGGAAAAUAAAGAAAUACAACAGAGUUUAUGAAAAAAUCUAUAAAGACUGACAAACAACCAAUAUGCAAAAGAAGACAAAGUGCGCAAAUCAGGAGUAAAUAAUACUGAGAACAUGAGUUAUAAAGAGUCCUCGAGACACAACCAUUGGGAAGGCUGAGCCAACUCCCAAGGAUUUAAAAACAGAUAACUCUCCUGGCUCCCUUGCCUCCGAAGAUGAAAGAUGAUCUUCAUUUGCCACAGGUACAUUGAAACAUCAAGACAAACAGUGAAAAGCAUCGCUAACGUGAACAACUGACAGAGACUGAGAAUGUGGUGAGGGUAGCCCACAAAAGUGGCCAUUUCCCAGCAUCAACACUGCAUGCCCACAGGACGCCUGACCUGUACACCUUUGGAAUGUGGGAGGAAACCACAGCACCAGGAGGAAACCCACACAGUCACAGGAAGAGAGAACAACUCAUUCCAGACAAUGGCAGGAGUUGAACCCAUGCCAUUGGCUCUGUAAAGCAUUAUGCUCAUGCCUCUCUAAGCAAACAGCCCAUGAACGCUGCCACGAUAUUCUUGUUGUGCACUGUUAUCUAUUCCUUUAUGUAACCUCCAGUGAUAUUUUAUAUAUCCCAUUGCACUGCUGCCACAAAACAACAAAUUUUAUAACAUAAACAUGUGAUAAUUAACCAGAUUCUCAUCUUUUAGUCCUGAUGAAAGAUUUCGACCAGAAAUGUCAACUGUCCAUCCCCCUCAACACCCAGUUACCCUUGAUUUAACCCAAGCCUAACCACAGGACAAUUUCCAAUGACCAAUUAAUCUACGGACCGGUCUGUCUAUGGUCUGUGGGCAGAAACCAGAGCAACCGGGGGAAACCCACACAUUCCACAGGGAGAACGUACAGAUUUCUUACAGAUGACAUCAGAAUUGAACCCCGAACCCCAGUGCCCCAGGCUGUAAUAACAUUACACUAACCCAUAACAGUGUAGCAGUUGAGGUUCUAAACUAUUAAGGGCAUCAAUAGUUACGGGCAGAAGGCAGGAGAAUGUGGUUGAGACAGAUAAUAAAUCAGACAUGGUGGAAUGGUGGAACAGACCCGAUGGACUGAAUGGCCUGAUUUGGCUCCUAUCUCCCUCCAUGGAGUCAAUUAGUCCUGCUGAGUUGCUGCAGCACCUUGCUGACACUGAAACCAUUAUGGCCUUUCCAACUAAUUGGAACUGAAAUUCCACAUCACCAGAUUCAGGAACAGCUACAUCCCUUCGCCAUCCAGUUCCGAUCACUUAGAUGAUAUAGUUUUAAAGAUUAGCUUGUUCUGUCGUAUGUACAGUAAAAUGGACUGUUGGCGUUAACGAAAAAGACCACCUCAGGGUGAGCUGGGAGCAAGCGUCGUCAUGCCUCUGGUGCCUAACCCGUACACCUUCGGACUGUGGGAGGAAACCGGAGCACCUGGAGCAAACACGUGCAGUUACAGGGAGAACCUGCAAACUCCUUAUGGACAGCAGCAGAAUUGAAGCGGGUCACUGCCACUGUCAUAGCAUUACGCUUACUGCUAUGUUGCCAAAAAUUUUAGUGCACUUUGCACUGAAAUAGAUGUUUUUUAAAAAUUCUAAUUGCGUUCUUCUGCUAUGGCGGGCUGGAGAUAUACCUCCUUCCCUCUGCUAGCCUGCACUACACCCUGGACAAGGUGUAGCAUCUGCUUAGACCCCCCCCCCCCGCACCAAUCAGGGUCAUGUGAAACCAUGGGGGCAGGUGGUGGAUGGUCGUAUGAGCAGCUGGUGUGUAUCACAAGUCCUGGUUAUGCAACCACUCACACCAGACAGACCAUCUCUGACGAGUAUUGAUAAUGGCUGGGGUCACCCAAGUCACUGCCCAGAGGCGGCAAUGGAAAAACAAUUCUGCAGAAAAAUUUGCAAAGAACAAUCAUGGUCAUGCAAAGACCAAGAUUGCCCACAUCGUACAACUCAGCACGUAAUGAUGAGGAUGAAUUGCGUCUUUGUUGUAAAAUUGUAUUUCUUAGAUGUUUUCCAUAUGAAUGUUGUCUAUCUGACAAUCUGUGUCUGUGAUGUGAGUUUUCCAUUGCGCCUGCAUGUUCUUGUGCAGAUGACAAUAAAGGUCCACAGAAUGACUAUGAAUCUAUGUCCUUCACUUGCUCCUUACUCGUGUUCUCAGUAUUUUUUAUUUAUUGUUUGUUUUUUUAAUAUAUAUCUGCAGUUUAACUUCUUUUGCACAUUGGUUGUUUGUCAGUUUUAGUUUGACCUUAAGACAUAGGAGCAGAAGUAGGCCAUUCAGCCCCAUCGUGUCUGUUCUGCCAUCCAAUCAUGGCUGAUCUCAGCUGAAACCUUCUUGCCAAAUCCUUUGAUGUUCUGACCAAUCAAAAAACUAUCAACUUCUGCCUUAAAAAUACCCACAGACCUGGCCUCCACCGCAGUCUGUGGCAGAGCAUUCCAGAUUCACUACUCACUGGCUCUGCUACCUUCUCAUCACAGGACCAUAAGACAUGGGAGCAGAAUUAGGCCAUUUGGCCCAUCGAGACUGAUCUGCCAUUCAAUCGUGGCUGAUCCUUUUCUCCCCUCCUCAGCCCCACUCCCCAGCCUUCUCCCCAAAACCUUUCAAUCUUUGCCUUAAAUACACCUAACGACCUGCAUGUGGUAACAAAUUUCACAAUUUCAUCACCCUCUGACUAAAGAAAUUUCUCCGCAUCUCUGUUUUAAAUGGACACCCCUCUAUCCUGAGACUGUGCCCUCCUGUCCUAGACUCCCCCACAAAGGGAAACAUUCUUUCCACAUCUACUCUGUCUAGGCCUUUCAACAUUCAAAAGGUUUCAAUGAGAAUCCCCCCUGAUCCUUCUGAAUUCCAGUGAGUACAAGCCCAGAGCCAUCAAACGUUCUUGUAUGAUAACCCUUUCAUUGUGGUAGCAUGCUUGUGAACCUCUUCUGAAUGCUCUCCAAUUUACAGGGAGUAUACAACAGUGAUAUUUAUUGUUCGAUAUGGGAUUGUACAACACUGUCAUUUAGAGUUCGAUAUACGGAUCAAUCCACUCUUAUUUAUUUUUGAUAUUUGGGGAGAAUACACCUGUAAUUUACUGUUGGAUAUGCUGUUGCAGAAAGUAGAGACGCUGCUGGGCUUUCUUUGCAAUGGAGCUGGUGUUGAGGGACCAGGUGAGAUUCUCCGUCAGCUGAACACCAAGAAAUUUGGUGCUCUCAAUGGAGGAACCGUCAAUGUUCAGCGGAGAGUGGUUGUUCCGUGCCCUCCUGAAGUCAACAACCAUCUCUUCUGUUUUGUUCACAUUAAGAGACAGGUUGUUGGCUCUGCACCAGUCCGUUAGCCGCUGCAACUCCUCUCUGUAAGCUGACUCGUCGUUCUAGCUGAUGAGAUCCACCAUGGUCGUGUCAUCGGCGAACUUGAUGAUGUGG
Long non-coding RNA from Hypanus sabinus (Atlantic stingray), 5156 nucleotides. RefSeq lists it as uncharacterized. The record is from RefSeq and is a predicted model, not a curated record. Lineage: Eukaryota; Metazoa; Chordata; Chondrichthyes; Myliobatiformes; Dasyatidae. The transcript is spliced from 6 exons.